GAGGUAGGAUGAUCAAGAGGAAGCUGCUAACUUCUAUCUUAAGCGGUUAAAAUCCGUUUAUACCUUU
Molecule: transfer RNA, 67 nt
Filed under: Solenocera melantho
Lineage: Eukaryota; Metazoa; Arthropoda; Malacostraca; Decapoda; Solenoceridae
Also listed under: 1 other name
Description: tRNA-Ser
Source: RNAcentral